This is a long non-coding RNA of Vitis vinifera (wine grape), 833 nucleotides long. RefSeq lists it as uncharacterized. Lineage: Eukaryota; Viridiplantae; Streptophyta; Magnoliopsida; Vitales; Vitaceae. The transcript has 2 exons. The record is from RefSeq and is a predicted model, not a curated record.
CACAAAAAAACAAAAAAACCUUAACUCCCCCAUUUUUUUCUUUUUUCUUUUUCCCUCUCUUUUUCUUUCUUUUUUUGGGGAAGAGAAAAAAAAGCCAGAGUAUUUGAGGGUGCUGUGUGGAGGUCCUUUUUUUUUUUUUUUUAGUUGAGAGAGUAGGGUUUUGAUUCUUAGGGAGCAAGAUUUUUUUUGAGAAAAACAUGGAGAAGAGAGAACUGAGCAUUACUUGCUGGAAGCAGAGAGCUGAGAGAUAGCAUAGCAAUGAGAGUUCUUUUUUUUUUUUUUUUUUGAAAACAUUGCAUGUGAGUUGUGAAGAACUAGAGAGAGUGGAAGCCAGGAGAAUUCAUUUUUGAGGAUGGUGGAGUGACGACUGGUUCUGUGAGAGGGCAGAGCUAAGCUAAAGGGAGCAGCAACCGGUUUUGGGAGGAAGGAAGCCGAGUUUGAGGUUGGAGCAACACAUGAGAAAAAGAGUUGGAAUUACAAAGGCAAACUAAUGCUAGAAAGUACUCAAGCCUUCAUAGAGGUUGAAAUAUGAACAUAGCUGCGAGACUCGAGAUUUGGAUAUAUCAAAAGUAAGAGGUCAUGAACCUUGAUUACCACAUCCUUAUCAAGAUUUAGAUGGAUUGCAUCAAAUAAACCUCGAGAGUUGAUGUAUAUUUUAGUUUUUUUACUUGUGUUUUUUUAAUUUUAUAAAAUUUUGCACAUGUAAAUAUUUUUAGUUUGUUAUUUUUCUUUUUGUUUUGGAACUUAUCAUAUUUUUCAAAUAUGGAUUGUAAUGCUUGGUACCUUUAUUUGUAUAUGUGGAUAUAACAAAUAUUCUUUUGUAUUGGUGGCAA